Molecule: non-coding RNA, 60 nt
Filed under: uncultured Brevundimonas sp.
Lineage: Bacteria; Pseudomonadati; Pseudomonadota; Alphaproteobacteria; Caulobacterales; Caulobacteraceae
Description: sul1 RNA
Rfam family: sul1 RNA
Source: RNAcentral
CUUGGACCUGGCCGUCACUGACGCCGGGUGGCUAUCCCCGCCGCCGAUCCGCAGGGAAAC